ACUCAAAUGAAUUGACGGGGACCCGCACAAGCGGUGGAGUAUGUGGUUUAAUUCGACGCAACACGAAAAACCUUACCUGGGCUCGAACGACUGGAAGUAGAAUCAGCGAAAGCCGAGACGACCUGUAAAAUCAGGAACCAGCCGAGGUGCUGCAUGGUUGUCGUCAGCUCGUGUCGUGAGAUGUUGGGUUAAGUCCCGCAACGAGCGCAACCCUCAUCUCCUGUUGCUACCCGCAAGGGAGCACUCUGGAGAAACUGCCCACGAUGAGUGGGAGGAAGGUGGGGACGACGUCAAAUCACCAUGGCCCUUAUGUCCAGGGCUACACACGUACUACAAUGGCCAGUACAACGGGACGCAAUGCGGCAACGCGGAGCAAAUCCUUAUAAAGCUGGCCCCAGUUCAGAUUAUGGGCUGCAACUCGUCCAUAUGAAGGUGGAAUCGCUAGUAAUCGCGAAUCAGAAGGUCGCGGUGAAUACGUUCCCGGGUCUUGUACACACCGCCCGU
RNAcentral lists this ribosomal RNA (504 nucleotides) under uncultured bacterium. Its description in RNAcentral is "partial 16S ribosomal RNA". It matches the Rfam family "Bacterial small subunit ribosomal RNA", at positions 899 to 1397 of the family's 1533-position model. The record is from RNAcentral.